RNAcentral lists this transfer RNA (393 nucleotides) under bacterium HTCC8049. RNAcentral describes it as "partial 16S-23S ribosomal RNA intergenic spacer". The stretch from base 100 to 173 matches the Rfam family "tRNA". The record is from RNAcentral.
UCUAAGGAUGAAUGAAAGUAAAAUUUCAUUCUAAAUAAUAUACAUAGGUAAUGUUGACCGUCCUCAUUUCUCUUCUUAAAAUAAUGUUUCCUUCUUGUAGGGCCGGUAGCUCAGUUGGUUAGAGCACACCCUUGAUAAGGGUGGGGUCGAAAGUUCGAGUCUUUCUCGGCCCACCAUACUUAACUGGGGGAUUAGCUCAGCUGGGAGAGCGCCUGAUUUGCAUUCAGGAGGUCAGCGGUUCGAUCCCGCUAUCCUCCACCAGGAAACAUUUAGUUAUAAAAAUUGUGAAUAAAAAUAAUAAUUAAUAUCAAUAUCUAUAUCCGAACAUUAGUAAUGUUAUUAGCUAAUGUUCAAAAUAAAAAUUUGAUUCAACAUAGAAAGAAUUUUUUUCUG